UUCCUCUCAUCUGAUUGGCUGAAGUGAAGAGUCUUUCGCUUCUUUUCAGCCUCUUGGAGAAUUUCCCCGCCGGCUGGAUUCCUCUGUUGGGAUCUGCUCCAUUGGUCACUAUUCUCUGGGAUUCGUACUUUGCUUCUGCUGCGGUGGGGCCAGAACGGGAAACUGCCGCUCCUGCUGGGAGAGCACCAAGUCCUGGGUUUCACCGAAAACGGGAAGAUGGUCGUCUACAUGCGUCUAUUGCUGCAGUCCAAAAAAGUGAUCACCUCUCAACCUUUAAAAAGAGCAGUGUGCCCACCCAAGAUUUUUAUGUCACGGAGGCCUCUAAAGAUCUCUCAGAAGCUUGUUUAGGGACCCUCUGCCUGAAAGUCCAAAAUGCUUGACUGCUUUUCUUCCCAAGCGCCUCUUGACAUAACUCUCGAACUAGGUUACUCAGGACAGAGAAUAGGUGCUCCUGAGCUGAUCCUCAGAAGAUCACAGCCAAGAAGGUUCUGAAGAAAACUUGCUCAUCACAAGUUAUUAGGCUUCAGAUCAUGAGAAUAAGAGAAGUUCUGUGGAGCUGACCUUUGAAAAACUGGUAUACAUUUUUCUGCAUGGUUGUUAAAUAUGAUGAGAAAAAAUAAUGGAAAAUUAUAAUGCAAUAAAGAAAUAAGA
Long non-coding RNA from Phacochoerus africanus (Common warthog), 651 nucleotides. RefSeq lists it as uncharacterized. The record is from RefSeq and is a predicted model, not a curated record. The transcript is spliced from 3 exons. NCBI's taxonomy places the organism in Eukaryota, Metazoa, Chordata, Mammalia, Artiodactyla, Suidae.